RNAcentral lists this ribosomal RNA (484 nucleotides) under uncultured bacterium. Its description in RNAcentral is "partial 16S ribosomal RNA". It matches the Rfam family "Bacterial small subunit ribosomal RNA", at positions 30 to 507 of the family's 1533-position model. The record is from RNAcentral.
AUUGAACGCUGGCGGCAGGCCUAACACAUGCAAGUCGAGCGGAUGAAGGGAGCUUGCUCCUGGAUUCACCGGCGGACGGGUGAGUAAUGCCUAGGAAUCUGCCUGGUAGUGGGGGAUAACGUCCGGAGACGGGCGCUAAUACCGCAUACGUCCUGAGGGAGAAAGUGGGGGAUCUUCGGACCUCACGCUAUCAGAUGAGCCUAGGUCGGAUUAGCUAGUUGGUGGGGUAAAGGCCUACCAAGGCGACGAUCCGUAACUGGUCUGAGAGGAUGAUCAGUCACACUGGAACUGAGACACGGUCCAGACUCCUACGGGAGGCAGCAGUGGGGAAUAUUGGACAAUGGGCGAAAGCCUGAUCCAGCCAUGCCGCGUGUGUGAAGAAGGUCUUCGGAUUGUAAAGCACUUUAAGUUGGGAGGAAGGGCAGUAAGUUAAUACCUUGCUGUUUUGACGUUACCAACAGAAUAAGCACCGGCUAACUUCGUG